RNAcentral lists this ribosomal RNA (780 nucleotides) under unidentified microorganism. Its description in RNAcentral is "bacterial SSU rRNA". It matches the Rfam family "Bacterial small subunit ribosomal RNA", at positions 51 to 821 of the family's 1533-position model. The record is from RNAcentral.
ACACAUGCAAGUCGAGCGGGGAGAUGGUAGNCUUGCGUACACUUUCCUAGCGGCGGACGGGUGAGUAAUGCUUAGGAAUCUGCCUAUUAGUGGGGGACAACAUUCCGAAAGGAAUGCUAAUACCGCAUACGCCCUACGGGGGAAAGCAGGGGAUCUUCGGACCUUGCGCUAAUAGAUGAGCCUAAGUCAGAUUAGCUAGUUGGUGGGGUAAAGGCCUACCAAGGCGACGAUCUGUAGCGGGUCUGAGAGGAUGAUCCGCCACACUGGGACUGAGACACGGCCCAGACUCCUACGGGAGGCAGCAGUGGGGAAUAUUGGACAAUGGGCGCAAGCCUGAUCCAGCCAUGCCGCGUGUGUGAAGAAGGCCUUUUGGUUGUAAAGCACUUUAAGCGAGGAGGAGGCUACUUGGAUUAAUACUCUAGGAUAGUGGACGUUACUCGCAGAAUAAGCACCGGCUAACUCUGUGCCAGCAGCCGCGGUAAUACAGAGGGUGCGAGCGUUAAUCGGAUUUACUGGGCGUAAAGCGUGCGUAGGCGGCUUUUUAAGUCGGAUGUGAAAUCCCUGAGCUUAACUUAGGAAUUGCAUUCGAUACUGGGAAGCUAGAGUAUGGGAGAGGAUGGUAGAAUUCCAGGUGUAGCGGUGAAAUGCGUAGAGAUCUGGAGGAAUACCGAUGGCGAAGGCAGCCAUCUGGCCUAAUACUGACGCUGAGGUACGAAAGCAUGGGGAGCAAACAGGAUUAGAUACCCUGGUAGUCCAUGCCGUAAACGAUGUCUACUAGCC